RNAcentral lists this ribosomal RNA (472 nucleotides) under uncultured soil bacterium. Its description in RNAcentral is "bacterial SSU rRNA". It matches the Rfam family "Bacterial small subunit ribosomal RNA", at positions 26 to 518 of the family's 1533-position model. The record is from RNAcentral.
AGGACGAACGCUGGCGGCGUGCUUAACACAUGCAAGUCGAGCGGUAAGGCCUUUCGGGGUACACGAGCGGCGAACGGGUGAGUAACACGUGGGUGAUCUGCCCUGCACUUCGGGAUAAGCCUGGGAAACUGGGUCUAAUACCGGAUAUGACCUCCUAUCGCAUGGUGGGUGGUGGAAAGAUUUAUCGGUGCAGGAUGGGCCCGCGGCCUAUCAGCUUGUUGGUGGGGUAAUGGCCUACCAAGGCGACGACGGGUAGCCGACCUGAGAGGGUGACCGGCCACACUGGGACUGAGACACGGCCCAAACUCCUACGGGAGGCAGCAGUGGGAAUAUGCACAAUGGGCAAAGCCUGAUGCAGCGACGCCGCGUGAGGGAUGACGGCCUUCGGGUUGUAAACCUCUUUCAGCAGGACGAAGCGCAAGUGACGGUACCUGCAGAAGAAGCACCGGCUAACUACGUGCCAGCAGCCGAC